GAGACUUUUUUAGAGACCUUGGCUAAAUCUGGACACCUUGGCUAAAUCUGGACUUCUUUUAGAGACCUUGGCUAAAUCAGUAGAGAUUGCCUACGCAGGGUAGAGGUUAGAGGACCCAGCCGGAGGAAGAAGAGGUCCGGAGCCAGAUUGGUCGUGUGAAGAAGACGUCUUUUUUUUUUUCUGUUGUAUUGUGUACAUAUUUUGUUCAUUUCUCAACCCCCGCCCCCGUUUGUGUGUGUGUGUCAAUGCCGAGUGUUUUUUGGAGCUAUCUUUCUAAAUGCUCUAAAGUGCCUGAUGUAUUUUAUAAGUAGUGGUAGGAAAACAACACAUUAUGUAAAUACGUCUUUGUUAGGAUUCAUUUGAAAUAUUGUUUGGUAAGGAAGAGUCAAACCCCUCCCGAGUUGACCACAUUGUGUUUGUGCCCUGGUUCCCAGGGGAAGGAAACGCAGAGUUGUGAGCCAUUGUGCUCCACUGUGUUUGGCUUUGCCGUGUACAUAGCAUAUAUAAAGGACAAAGGAGUCCUAAUUUACGACAUCUAGUCACUCUAGGUGUCAAAGAGGUCGCCAGUGUAUGACAAAGUAGAGGUAGUAGAAUACAUUUUCUAUUUUUUAUGUUAAAAUUUUUCUUUUUGUGUUAAAAUUGUUUUAAUUACUACUCUUGUUACACGUGUGCCGUUUACUGGACUACCGUGUACACAGUGGACAACAGUCCUUACUUGAAACAUCUGGUCUAUCUAGAUGUUUAGAAGUGCCCAACGUAUGUUAAAUGUAGAGGUAGUAAAAUAUCGCUUUGUAAAUAUCUUUUUGCUAAAAUUCAUGAAGCACUGCCUUUUGGAAGUAGAAUGCUGGAGCCCUCUGUGAGCAAUACUGUCUGUACUUGCUCAGGGUCUGGAGGAAGUAAUGAGAAGCAACACGGUCAUGUGCUAGUGUGUUUAUAUGGGACCUUUUCAGAUGUCAUUGCUAUAUAUUUGCCUUUAGUUUGGCUGUGUGUAGUCUGUAUAUAAUGGACACUUGACUAAAAUUUUCAGCUUCUCAUUUCUAGAUGGUAUAGAGGUUGCCAAUGUAUCACAAAGUAGUAAAAUUAGCACAUUGUAUACACUGUUAAUUUAUAGGAAAGAUUGCUCUGUAAAUGAUUUGGGGAUAUGAAUUUAUUCAGCUAUUUCUAGGCAUUGUGUAUGUCUAUAUUUGCUGGCUUGAAGGCAGAGAAGGGAGAAGAAAGUGAGUCACAGCCCGGAUGGUUAUAUUUAGAAGAUACCUCAGAUAACAACCAUUGCUUUGCAUACAAUUUUAUUUGCCAGUGCAGUGUGGAUAGGGGAUAAGUUUUUACAUGAGAUACCUGGUCUGUCUAGGUAUUUUCAGUGUUUGAUACAUUUAAAAGUAGAAGUAGUAGAAUGAUACUUUAUGUAAAUAGUUUUUGAAAAACUGGAGAUACUAUGUUUAGAAGUAGAAUUGCUAACCCACCCCCCAGAACAGUGCACUGGCUGGACUUGUCCAGUGGACUGAGGGGGUGGGAGGGAAGGAACUGCAAAAAGAUCCCAUUAGUGUGCUAGACCUUUUUAGCUUCCCAUCACCCUGUGUGUUAUAUACAUUUAACUUUGCUAUGCUGUACAUACUGGACAUACUGGACAAAGGAGUCCUCAUUUUAUGAUACCUAGUUUCUAGGUAUUAAAUUGCCAGCAUAUGACAAAAGUAGAGUUAGUAGUAAACUAACACCUUCUGUGUACUCCGUGUUAAAAUUCACAGCAAGGUUGUCUUCUGAAGAGUUGUGAAAGUAUCAUUCAAGUGGCAGGCGCCUGUGUCUUGGGAUACAGAGGAGAGGCUGAAGAAAAAAGUCGGAGACCAGAAUGCUCUCAGCAGAAGACACGUUGAGAUCUAACCAUUGUUACAUGUGUGUGGUUUCCACACUACUGUGUAUAUAGGGGACAAAUUUAUGUCCCCACCUGAAACAUCUAGUCCUUCUAGGAGUUUAGAAGUGCACAAAGUAUGUUAAAGGUAGAUGUAGUAAAUAAUACAUGUUGUAGAUUCUCCUGUUUAAACUCGUGGUGAAAUGCCGUCUUUUGGAAAUGGAAUGAUAAAAUCACUUCUGAGCAAUACAGACUUGUGCUGGAUUGGGAGGGAGGAAGAAAGAAAAUGGAUGAAGACCUAAUAGUAAUGUAAGAUUAGCCAUUGUCCCUUUCUUCUGUGCUUAUUCUGCAGUAUAUCAUGUACGCAGAAGACAGACGAGUCCAAAUAUGCAGCACCUAGUCUUCUAGAAGGGAAAGAGGCUGCCAAUAUGUGACAGAGUAGAGUAGUGUUUUAAAGCUGUGUUAAAAUUCAUAGGAAAGAACUCUUAAAACCAUGUAGGAAGUGAAGUUGUUAUUAUACCCACAGAACCAUGCAUGACAGGUUAAGAGAGGAGGGAGGUUCUAGACCAGAGCGAUGCUCUCGUAGGUCUGUUAGGGAUGCGCGGUUUAUUUUCUGCCCCGCACUGUACAUGUGCUGGGGACACGGAAGUAUUACUGGAAACAUCUAGUCUUUAAACUUUUCAGUCCUAGAUUGAGGCAGGUGGAUCUUGUGAGUUCCAGGCCAGCCAGAGCUACAAGCCAGGGCUUUGUCUCUCAGAGUAAGAAAAUGUGCACAAUGGUAAAGGCACCUGCCGCAAACUGGUGACCCGGAUGUGAUCUUCAGGAUCCACAUAAAAGGAGGAAACUGAUCCACAAAUUGUCUUCUAGCCUCCAUACAAAUAAAGUGGCAUCAUGUGCCUACACUAAUUCAUAAAGUAAAAAAUGCACACACCGUGAAAAUAGAGGGUUAACAGCACCUUUUAAGGAUUAUUAUUUCAUAGGAAUGGUUACACUGGAAUUGGAACUGUUAGACAUGCUCUUUGAGCAGAUGCUGUUCCCAGGCGGUGGAGGUGGGCAGGGGAAAGAUAGUGCAGAGUAAGGUGCUGUGCCUGUUGGCUGGUUCCCGGUUGUCCUGCCAUUGUUCCCGUUUGCAUUUCCGUUAAUGUUGCCAAGUAUUAGAGGGUAAGUCCCAGUGCCCAGGUGUUAGAAGUAGAACAGUCAGUAUAAAUGUCCUGCUGGUCUUUUGGAAGGGCUGUCUUCUGGAGGUGACACUUGUCAUACGUUGACUAGCAUCAUCCUGAACUGGAGGUGGACAGAGAAGAGGACGGAUGAGGGAAGAGCUCUUGGCUAGGACCACCACAUCUAGAAGACAAUUUCAACUGUACCCAGGGAUCCAUAUGUGCAUUGCUGGGAAGAUACUUGUGUUUAUUGUGCUCAAAGUUCAUUCCACAACAUCUGAACUUCAUAAAUGACCUAAAGGAGUGGAUAUGGUUAAAGGUAUAGCUUGA
Molecule: non-coding RNA, 3330 nt
Organism: Myodes glareolus (Bank vole)
Lineage: Eukaryota; Metazoa; Chordata; Mammalia; Rodentia; Cricetidae
Source: RefSeq, a predicted model, not a curated record